CAAAACACGAAACAAGUCGUACAAAAACUACAAGCCACUUUCACUUUGAAGCUGUUAUUAUGAAAACCUCAAUGCGAGAUAAUAACAAUAAACACCUGUGUGAGGUUGAUAGGAAAGAUGUUUUAUGAAAGGAAAAAAUAGCAUUAAAAAAAAGCUUGUCAGAAAGAUAAAAUGCUUAAAAAUGUUUUAGGGUUGCAACUGUGUGUUAAAAAACGUACUACAAAUGUGCAACAAUUAUGUUACAUUUGCAAAAAACCUAAAGCUUCCCCAUAAUGAAAAUGUGUUUCAAGUAGUUUUGUUUUUUAACUGACUGACACUAAAGUAUGACUAAAGUUCAUUUUAACUUGUGUACAAAAUGUUCUAUGCACCCACUUAGAAUAUUAUAACUUAGAAUUAAUCUUAUCAAUAAUGGACAGAAAAUUUGUUUCACAUAAUGGUAGCAAUAAUGAGCCAGGCCAUAAGAAAAACUAUUCCUUCAAAAUAAAGCUUCUUUUUUGUCUUGAAGUGUCAAAAGAGGAGGGAUUUAUAUCUGACAUGAUCUAUUUCUGUCUGACAGAGACUGUUGUUGAAACUAUUCAGUCUGACUCUUCUCAGAGUGAACACUUGUACAAUGAAUCUUCUUUCAGUUAUUCUGUUCUGUGCCUCAACAGCUGUGUUUGGAAAUGUAAUAAAACCAAAGAAAAUCAAAGUUCUUAGUGAGGAGGGUUCAAGUGUUACAUUAUCCUGUGGUUUUUCUGACUCUGGACGUACAGAUUAUCUCCACUGGUAUCGUCAGUAUGGAAGAUCAAAACCUGAAUUUCUUGUACUCACCUACAGUAGUGCAAAAGGAGCUAAAGAGUCUGAUGUAGAUCCAAGAUUCACUGUUAACAUUACAGAAAGGGAACGUGUGGAUCUGAUCAUCUCCUCUGCUGCUGUAUCAGACUCUGCUCUGUACUACUGUGCUCUGCAGCCCACAGUCACAGGAAACACAUCAACUCUCUACAAAAACCUGUUACAAUGAGAGAUGAGAGACAAACACAGAGACAGAGAUGAAGACAGAGAAAAAUAAGCUGUGACU
This is a non-coding RNA of Carassius gibelio (silver crucian carp), 1057 nucleotides long. NCBI's taxonomy places the organism in Eukaryota, Metazoa, Chordata, Actinopteri, Cypriniformes, Cyprinidae. The record is from the annotation of a RefSeq genome assembly.